This is a long non-coding RNA of Panicum virgatum (switchgrass), 575 nucleotides long. RefSeq lists it as uncharacterized. Lineage: Eukaryota; Viridiplantae; Streptophyta; Magnoliopsida; Poales; Poaceae. The record is from RefSeq and is a predicted model, not a curated record. The transcript is spliced from 2 exons.
ACACUAUAAAUAGACACUUGCUCUCCUCUUCCUCCUCGCCCAACAAAGCAAGGUUCAGAUCAGUUUCAGUUCAACCAUGAAUGGGAAGAUCGCAGCGACAACUGCUGCCCUAUGCUUGCUCCUCAUGACCUGUGGUGUGGAGGCCAUGCUGUGCAAAACGCGAAGCACGACCUUCAAAGGGAUUUGCAAGCAAAAUAUGAAUUGUGCCAACAUCUGCGUCUCAGAGGGCAGAAGCGGCGGAUACUGUAAAGGACUUCCGAUGCGCAAGCGGUGCAUGUGCACUUUUGACUGCAGCACUGAUGGCGGUGGCGGUGGUGGCGGUGGCGGUGGUGGCAGUGGCGGCGGCGGGGGUGGCGGCAGCGGUGGUGGUGGCAGCAGCGGAGCGCCAGUGCCACCAAGGCCGCCGCCAGCAUUGACGGCGAGGGCUCGAAGGGCCGGAAGCCCUGCAUGAGCUGCUAGACUCCGGUCGCUAGGCCUCUGAUCUGAUUGUGUAUGCGUACCACAGGCAGGGCGAUUCACUCAUGCUAACUUGUGUUCGGAGUUGAUGGCAAUAAUGAUAAAAGAAAAUGGUUUCG